Long non-coding RNA from Oncorhynchus keta (chum salmon), 544 nucleotides. RefSeq lists it as uncharacterized. Lineage: Eukaryota; Metazoa; Chordata; Actinopteri; Salmoniformes; Salmonidae. The transcript has 4 exons. The record is from RefSeq and is a predicted model, not a curated record.
CUAGUUCUUUAUGAUAAAAACACGAAGUGAAAAAGUGAUUCGGGAAUACGAAGACUAACAAACAAGUGGUUACGUGUGUGUGUUCAGUUCUGUGUUGGGGACUGCAUUCAGGUGUGUGUUCAGUUCUGUGUUGGGGACUGCAUUCAGGUGUGUGUUCAGUUCUGUGUUGGGGACUGCAUUCAGGUGUGUGUUCAGUUCUGUGUUGGGGACUGCAUUCAGGUGUGUGUGUGUUCAGUUCUGUGUUGGGGACUGCAUGCAGGUGUGUGUGUGUUCAGUUCUGUGUUGGGGACUGCAUUCAGGUGUGUGUCUGUGUUCAGUUCUGUGUUGGGGACUGCAUUCAGGUGUGUGUCUGUGUUCAGUUCUGUGUUGGGGACUGCAUUCAGGUGUGUGUGUGUGUGUGUGUGUGUGUGUUAGACAAUGGUAUGUGUGUACUGUAUUAAACAAUGGUGUGUAGGGGCGUGCCCCCGCUGUGUGAGGGUGAUGAUGUGUGUUCUGACGAAGACGAGAGAGAGCCGCGUGAUGAAGAUGCUUCCCUCUCCAACUC